This 468-nucleotide ribosomal RNA is filed under the name uncultured bacterium. RNAcentral's name for it is "partial 16S ribosomal RNA". It matches the Rfam family "Bacterial small subunit ribosomal RNA", at positions 28 to 507 of the family's 1533-position model. The record is from RNAcentral.
GAUGAACGCUGGCGGCGUGCUUAACACAUGCAAGUCGAACGGUGAAGGCGGAGCUUGCUCUGCUGGAUCAGUGGCGAACGGGUGAGUAACACGUGAGCAAUCUGCCCCUGACUCUGGGAUAAGCGCUGGAAACGGCGUCUAAUACUGGAUACGAGCUGCGAAGGCAUCUUCAGCAGCUGGAAGGAAUUUCGGUCAGGGAUGAGCUCGCGGCCUAUCAGCUUGUUGGUGAGGUAAUGGCUCACCAAGGCGUCGACGGGUAGCCGGCCUGGGAGGGUGACCGGCCACACUGGGACUGAGACACGGCCCAGACUCCUACGGGAGGCAGCAGUGGGGAAUAUUGCACAAUGGGCGAAAGCCUGAUGCAGCAACGCCGCGUGAGGGACGACGGCCUUCGGGUUGUAAACCUCUUUUAGCAGGGAAGAAGCGAAAGUGACGGUACCUGCAGAAAAAGCGCCGGCUAACUACGUG